UACGUAGGGGGCGAGCGUUGUCCGGAUUCAUUGGGCGUAAGAGCUCGUAGGCGGCUUGGCAAGUCGGAUGUGAAAACUCCAGGCUCAACCUGGAGCCGCCAUUCGAUACUGCUAUGGCUAGAGUCCGGUAGGGGAGUGUGGAAUUCCCGGUGUAGCGGUGAAAUGCGUAGAUAUCGAGAGGAACACCUGCGGCGAAGGCGGGUUGCUGGGCUGACACUGACGCUGAGGCGCGAAAGCUAGGGGAGCGAACGGG
Molecule: ribosomal RNA, 253 nt
Filed under: uncultured bacterium
Lineage: Bacteria
Description: partial 16S ribosomal RNA
Rfam family: Bacterial small subunit ribosomal RNA
Source: RNAcentral